UAACUGAAGAGUUUGAUCAUGGCUCAGAUUGAACGCUGGCGGCAGGCCUAACACAUGCAAGUCGAGCGGAUGAGAGGAGCUUGCUCCUCGAUUCAGCGGCGGACGGGUGAGUAAUGCCUAGGAAUCUGCCCAGUAGUGGGGGACAACGUUUCGAAAGGAACGCUAAUACCGCAUACGUCCUACGGGAGAAAGUGGGGGAUCUUCGGACCUCACGCUAUUGGAUGAGCCUAGGUCGGAUUAGCUAGUUGGUAGGGUAAAGGCCUACCAAGGCGACGAUCCGUAACUGGUCUGAGAGGAUGAUCAGUCACACUGGAACUGAGACACGGUCCAGACUCCUACGGGAGGCAGCAGUG
Molecule: ribosomal RNA, 353 nt
Filed under: Pseudomonas oryzihabitans
Lineage: Bacteria; Pseudomonadati; Pseudomonadota; Gammaproteobacteria; Pseudomonadales; Pseudomonadaceae
Description: bacterial SSU rRNA
Rfam family: Bacterial small subunit ribosomal RNA
Source: RNAcentral